UCAACAAAAAAAACAACAUAUAUAGGUACUUGAUUCUCUGUGUUUGGCCUUCAAUCGUGUUGAUCUCGCAAAUACGGUUAGUGUAUAUGACAUGUUUACUCUAUUUUUUUUAGAUUGUAUUUCAUUUACGUAUAUUGUUGACCGCAAAUAUGAUAAUUGAGCAGCUACAAGGACUACAAUAUCAUCUUAAUAUUAUUGGACGGCAACAGGACUUGCCUAGCCACAAAUGGGGUGACCUCAAUGUUAUGAAGUGGCCAAUCAUAGAAUAACUACAAGAAAGAAUUCAAGGAGAUAGAUCUUCAUGUGGACUGUUCAUGCUCAAAAUUAUGGAGAAUUGGACAGGAGAAUCACUUUCUCGUUCUAUUACACAGGAGGAUAUUACACUUUUUAGGUUCAAACUAGCCGGUGCAUUAUUAUGUUAGAAAACAAAUAAAGCGGUCAUCACUACCGGGGAACAAAGCAAAGAUACCAAAGACAGUGACGACGAUGUUGUGAUAUUGGGUAGUCAUCAACGGAAAUUCAACUCUAAAAGGGACAUCUAUGAAACUAAAGAAGUAAAUAAAAAAUAUAGUUCACUACUCUUUGUGGUAGCUACGAUGAGUAAACAAGAGUUGAUAAGCGGCCUUUUGCACUACAUCCAAUAGAUUAAUUGCGCUGAAGCCAUGGAGAAAGUAUGGGUACAAAGUUCAAGUCCGCAUUUUAUUAGCUUGAGUCUCAAACAUCUUCAAUCAGUACUGAAGAAGGAUGAGCCAUUGGAAAGUGAAUGCUUCAACAUGGCUAUAUGUAAGUUCAUGUAUGAAAAAAUCCAGACGAUUCACAAAACUAAAGAAGCAAUAUCGAAUCAUUGUCUGGACUUGCAAUUUUGGAAUGCUACUGGCUUUGGUAAAGACCCGGUCCACCAUGACAACGUAGAUCUUGCAAAGACCAUCAGUAGCUGGUCGAAAAUUCAUUACAAACUUUCACAAUGCAAAUCGGUAAGAUCGCUAACAUUUGAUCCUAUAUGCCCGUGUUUUACAUAUUAUCUUGAUAGUUGAUCUUUUGUAUAUUCUUAUACUAGUACGCCAUGCUUGAAGCUUUAUCAUGGUCAUAGUGGACUAAGAAAGUCAAACACUAUAUAUAUUAGACUCUAAUCUACUUAUUCCAAAAUAUAAAAAUAACCCAAACAUGAGAUACGUCAGGAUAACUAUUUGUGAUCACUUCAACAAAGCUAUGUGGAAGGCAUGCCCUGGCUCUAGGUGGAAUGAAGACAUCAACUUGUGGAGGCAAAUAUUUAUCAAUAAUCCGGUUCUCGACAGGUAAGUUAUCUUCUAAAAACUCGUUCAAACCAAUAAAUUUAAUUGUGUAGUGCAAGGGUAGCUAACUAUUCAACUUCCUUGGGAGUUUAUCGGGUUUUCUUGUUCAUCUCUUCGUGUGUACAUGGAAAAAUGAAGAACUACAUUUGCCGGCUAUUAAUGAUGGUGACGAGCUAAGGAAUUUUUUUUUGCUAAAUCUACUGAUGUACCAACAAAAUGAGUGUGAAAGCAACAUCCCUACCGGCGCACGAGAUUUUCUAAAGUGUAUCAAAAAUGCACAACAUUAGGGUAGUUAUUUAUCUAUAUGGAGUAAUUUAAUUUGAGGUGAUCAUCCAUUAGAAAUACCAUAUCUAGAAAUGCUUGAUGUUCUAGAUUUUUGUUUGUGCUUUAUUUGUAUGACAUCAUCAAAUUUUCAUAGAUGUCUUCUAUCUAUGUUGCUUUUUUAUAAUUUAACAAACGCCAUGAGAUUGUUUUAUGCGCCGAAAAAGGUUGCACUACGCUUAUGUAAUGAUAACAUAUAUCUUGUUUUUAAAUUAAUCUACAGAACAAUUAUGACUUGUAGUUUCUUUUGGAUUG
This is a non-coding RNA of Oryza sativa Japonica Group (Japanese rice), 1868 nucleotides long. NCBI's taxonomy places the organism in Eukaryota, Viridiplantae, Streptophyta, Magnoliopsida, Poales, Poaceae. The record is from RefSeq and is a predicted model, not a curated record.